This 793-nucleotide ribosomal RNA is filed under the name uncultured prokaryote. Its description in RNAcentral is "bacterial SSU rRNA". It matches the Rfam family "Bacterial small subunit ribosomal RNA", at positions 675 to 1482 of the family's 1533-position model. The record is from RNAcentral.
GNAGCGGUGAAAUGCUUAGAUAUCACGAAGAACUCCGAUUGCGAAGGCAGCUUGCUGGACUGUAACUGACGCUGAGGCACGAAAGCGUGGGGAUCAAACAGGAUUAGAUACCCUGGUAGNCCACGCCGUAAACGAUGAAUGCUAGCUGUUAGCGAUAUACUGUUAGCGGCACAGAGAAAUCGUUAAGCAUUCCACCUGGGGAGUACGCCGGCAACGGUGAAACUCAAAGGAAUUGACGGGGGCCCGCACAAGCGGAGGAACAUGUGGUUUAAUUCGAUGAUACGCGAGGAACCUUACCUGGGCUUAAAUUGCAGUGGAAUAACGUGGAAACAUGUUAGCCUUCGGGCCGCUGUGAAGGUGCUGCAUGGUUGUCGUCAGCUCGUGCCGUGAGGUGUCGGCUUAAGUGCCAUAACGAGCGCAACCCUCAUCGAUAGUUACUAACAGGUUAAGCUGAGGACUCUAUCGAGACUGCCGACGUAAGUCGUGAGGAAGGUGGGGAUGACGUCAAAUCAGCACGGCCCUUACGUCCAGGGCUACACACGUGUUACAAUGGGGGGUACAAAGGGCAGCUACCUGGCGACAGGAUGCUAAUCUCAAAAACCUCUCUCAGUUCGGAUUGGAGUCUGCAACCCGACUCCAUGAAGCUGGAUUCGCUAGUAAUCGCGCAUCAGCCACGGCGCGGUGAAUACGUUCCCGGGCCUUGUACACACCGCCCGUCAAGCCAUGGGAGCCGGGGGGACCUGAAGUAUGCAACCGUAAGGAGCGUCCUAGGGUAAAACUGGUGACUGGGGCU